Molecule: long non-coding RNA, 671 nt
Filed under: Olea europaea subsp. europaea
Lineage: Eukaryota; Viridiplantae; Streptophyta; Magnoliopsida; Lamiales; Oleaceae
Source: RNAcentral
AGGAAAAAAUGAGUUAUACGUAUUUUUUAACACACACGUUUGAUAUACGUUUAACUAUUUUCGAUAUUCAUUUAAAUCAUUCGAUGUGUCUAUGAAAUAAUUUUCGAAAUGAGCUUUGAGAGAAUAUAAAAUAUUUAUGGUUUCGACUACCGAACAAUCUUCGAUGAAUUUUUAAAGUUAGCUUGUUAUCAAAAUUUUUAAUUUUUUAAAUAAUGUCUCCUUUUACACUAAAAAUAAUUUAAAAGUUUAUCAGGAAAUUUUUUAAACCACGUAAAAAAAUUUAUCAGAUUAUUUACAAAAUUAAUUUUGUAGUAGUAGUGAUAUAUUAAUUAAGUUGAAAAAUUAAAAUAGGAUUGAAGGAUAAAAUGAAAAAAUGAAAAUACUUUACAAAUGAACAGUAAUAACAUAUUCAUUCUUACAAUGUAGGAAUAGAGAAAAGUAGGGAAAAUAAAUACAAAAACCACUGAAUUGCAGCAAAUUCAUUAUAUAUUGUUUGAAUUUUAAUUAUAUAAAUUUAUUUAUUUUGUUCGAAAGUAUUGGAAUGAUAAUUAUAUAAUUUUGUUCUUGUAUGUCGACACAGAAAUUUUUUUUUAUUCAUUUCUGUAAUAGACUUUACUUAUUUUUAUAGUUAUAUUUUGUUUUUUUUAAUAUUUUUUUUACAAUUAUUUUUC